This is a long non-coding RNA of Diabrotica virgifera virgifera (western corn rootworm), 500 nucleotides long. RefSeq lists it as uncharacterized. The transcript is spliced from 4 exons. The record is from RefSeq and is a predicted model, not a curated record. Lineage: Eukaryota; Metazoa; Arthropoda; Insecta; Coleoptera; Chrysomelidae.
CAGUAAACAGCUUACUACAAAUGUCGCAUUUAUAAGGUUUUUCACCCGUGUGAAUUUUCAUAUGCUUAUCUAAACCACUUUUGCGACUUAACUGCUUACUACAAAUUUCGCAUUUAUAAGGUUUUUCACCCGUGUGAAUUUUCAUAUGCUUAUCUAAACCACUUUUGCGACUAAACUGCUUACUACAAAUUUCGCAUUUAUAGGGUUUUUCACCCGUGUGAAUUUUCAUAUGCUUAUCUAAACCACUUUUGCGACUAAACUGCUUACUACAAAUUUCGCAUUUAUAAGGUUUUUCACCAGUGUGAACUCUCAUAUGCUCAUUUAAACUACUAAGGUAACUAAACUGCUUAAUACAAAUUUCACACUUAUAAGGUUUUUCACCAAUGUGAAUCUUCAUAUGCUUAUUUAAAUUACUUAUGUGACUAAACUGCUUACUACAAAUUUUACAUUUAUAAGGUUUUUCACCAGUGUGAACUCUCAUAUGAUCCUUUAAACUACUU